RNAcentral lists this ribosomal RNA (500 nucleotides) under uncultured Glomeromycotina. RNAcentral describes it as "partial small subunit ribosomal RNA". It matches the Rfam family "Eukaryotic small subunit ribosomal RNA", at positions 591 to 1092 of the family's 1831-position model. Lineage: Eukaryota; Fungi; Glomeromycota. The record is from RNAcentral.
CCAAUAGCGUAUAUUAAAGUUGUUGCAGUUAAAAAGCUCGUAGUUGAAUUUCGGGGUUAGUAGAUUGGUCGUGCCACUGGUAUGUACUGGUCUUACUGAUUCCUCCUUCCUGAUGAACCGUAAUGCCAUUAAUUUGGUGUUGCGGGGAGACUGGACUGUUACUUUGAAAAAAUUAGAGUGUUUAAAGCAGGCUAACGCUUGAAUACAUUAGCAUGGAGUAAUGAAAUAGGACGUUCGAUCCUAUUUUGUUGGUUUCUAGGAUUGACGUAAUGAUUAAUAGGGAUAGUUGGGGGCAUUAGUAUUCAAUUGUCAGAGGUGAAAUUCUUGGAUUUAUUGAAGACUAACUACUGCGAAAGCAUUUGCCAAGGAUGUUUUCAUUAAUCAAGAACGAAAGUUAGGGGAUCGAAGACGAUCAGAUACCGUCGUAGUCUUAACCAUAAACUAUGCCGACUAGGGAUCGGAUGAUGUUAAUUUUUUAAUGACUCAUUCGGCGCCUUACG